AAAGAGAAAAAACACAAAAACGUAAUAAAAACAGUCAGAGAGUUAGUGUAUUAAUCAGCUGAUGUGAACAGAAGUUGGUGUUUUGUAGCUGUUUUGUAAUAAGAGGUUUAAAUGGAUGGAGAGAGCAGUGAGUUUAGAGCAGCAGGGUUUUUGUACGGCCACUAAACCUGUUUGUAUCACUGUGGUGGACUUUCGGUGGAGGAACUAAACUAUCUGUGGGCCGCCUCACCCAGCCCAGUGUGACGGUAUUGCCCCCCUCCAGUAUGGAGCUGCAGCAGGAGAAGGUCACACUCAUGUGUGUGGCCUACAAGGGCUUCCCCUCGGACUGGAGGCUGAGCUGGAAGGUUGACGGGAGCAGCUGGAGCUCGGGGGAGAGCCGCAGCACCGCAGUUCUGCAGGCGGACGGCCUCUACAGCUGGAGCAGCACGCUGAGCCUCCACCCGGAGCAGUGGAGGAACAAGGUGGUGACCUGUGAGGCCUCCAAGGACAACCAACCACCUGUGGUGAGCACAGUGAACACAGAGCAGUGCUGAGAGCUGUGAGCUCACACACACGUUACUCAGCUCACCUUCUACUGCUUCACUGUGUGUUCCAUGUGGCCUUUACUGCUCAAAUGUCCCACUUUCAUCAUUUCAUCUGAGUUAUUGACAUGUGAGCUCACGCACUCCUCACUUUAACUCAGCUCUUCUUCUUAUCACCUAAAUAUGUGUUGAGUGUGUGUAUCACUGCAAUGUCCUGCUUUGAAGUAUUAAUAAAAGCCUUUUGAAUCAGUAAA
Molecule: non-coding RNA, 775 nt
Organism: Ictalurus punctatus (channel catfish)
Lineage: Eukaryota; Metazoa; Chordata; Actinopteri; Siluriformes; Ictaluridae
Source: the annotation of a RefSeq genome assembly